ACCUACGGGGCGCAGCAGUGGGGAAUAUUGCACAAUGGGGGAAACCCUGAUGCAGCAACGCCGCGUGAAGGAAGACGGUUUUCGGAUUGUAAACUUCUGUUCUUAGUGAAGAAAAAUGACGGUAGCUAAGGAGCAAGCCACGGCUAACUACGUGCCAGCAGCCGCGGUAAUACGUAGGCGGCAAGCGUUGUCCGGAAUUACUGGGUGUAAAGGGAGCGCAGGCGGGAAGCCAAGUCAGCUGUGAAAACUACGGGCUUAACUUGUAGACUGCAGUUGAAAAUGGGUUUCUUGAGUGAAGGAGAGGG
Molecule: ribosomal RNA, 305 nt
Filed under: uncultured bacterium
Lineage: Bacteria
Description: bacterial SSU rRNA
Rfam family: Bacterial small subunit ribosomal RNA
Source: RNAcentral